This 399-nucleotide long non-coding RNA is filed under the name Homo sapiens (human). Its description in RNAcentral is "HSALNT0245792". Lineage: Eukaryota; Metazoa; Chordata; Mammalia; Primates; Hominidae. The record is from RNAcentral.
GUGGUCCAGCCCAGCAUCCUGGAGGUGAUGGCCGCAGUGGAGGCAAGGCUGCCAACCAGCACGAUGAUAAAGCAGUUGAAGCUCAGCGGUCCAAUGAGUUGUUCAAGACCCCAGCCAGUAAGUGUAGGGAUUUGAACCUUGGACCCGUUGGGCUGCAGAUCCUGGGCUCAUCUCCCCUAGGCUGUCUUUUCCUGGUGUUCUUAGGGUGCGGGCCAAAGGAUGAAUGGGGCGAUUCCUUGUCCCACCCUAAGUCGGGCAACACUUCCUGGUUCCCAUACCCCAUAGCUCCCACCAAGAAGGUUACCUGAGUUACUAUCAGGAUGGAAACAGGAAGAAGGCAGGGUUUGGAGCUGGACAGAGUGGGGUUUGAAAGCAGCCUUGGCCACUUGCCAGCCAUGU